UCUCCGUUGGUGAACCAGCGGAGGGAUCAUUACAGAGUUGCAAAACUCCCGAACCAUUGUGAACGUUACCUAUCCCGUUGCUUCGGCGGGCGGCCCGGGCCCCGCGCCCGGCGCCCCCCGGCCCCCCGUGGGCGCCCGCCGGAGGUAAACCAAACCCUUGAAUUGCAUGGCCUCUCUGAGUCUUCUGUACUGAAUAAGUCAAAACUUUCAACAACGGAUCUCUUGGUUCUG
This 231-nucleotide unclassified non-coding RNA is filed under the name plant metagenome. RNAcentral's name for it is "partial contains small subunit ribosomal RNA, internal transcribed spacer 1, and 5.8S ribosomal RNA". The record is from RNAcentral.